GCUAUUUUAAGUAAGAUGCUUAAUGUUUGAGCAAAGGCGAACAUGGAGAAGUUAGUCCAGCGGGUAUAUGGAGGCAGACCAUCGCACACAUAAGGGACUGAGAAUACGGAGGCCCUGGCAGGUCUGUGCAAGAAUGCCAGUGUGGCCAAAGCACAGGAUAAGAGGACAUGGGUCACAAGAGGCCUUGGAGGGAAAUAGGGAGCAGUUGCAGUUUUGGUCAGAGACAUGACAGAUCCAGCAUCUUUUAACACAAUCAUUUGGUUAUUGUAUCAAUGCUGCUAACAGGCCAAAUAAGAUGAAGACUGAGAAUUGUUGAUAGUUUUUAGACAGAGAGAAGAUAAUACUUUUUUAAAAAGCUUGUUUCACUGCCCUAUAAAAACAACCAGACUUAUGUGCUCACUUCGGCAGCACAUGUACUAAAACAAUAAUUAAAAAAAUUUUUUAAAGCAAUAAGAGUUAUAAAAGAGAAGACUGUAUUCAUUUGUUUACUAAAGUCUUGUUGUCAGCAUACUAUGAGCCAGGCAUGGAGAGAGCUGCUAAGAAUAAAGCACAGAGUGCCACGGUGUGGAUGGACCCAGAGGACACUGUGUGCAGUGACAGAAGACAGACACAGAAGCUUGUGUGCCUUGGCGAAGCAAGCUGAGAUGCUGGAGAGGCCCGCGCUGCAAGGGGCUGAGGAUGACCGCCAGCCAACAGUCAGCAGACCUUCAGUGCAAGAGCCUGUUAAAUUACUGGAUCCUGCCAACAUCAUGAUCAUGGAAGGGGGUCCUGUCUCAGCCAUGCCUUCCGAUGACCGCUGCUCAGUGGGCACCUUGAUUAUAGACUUUGAGAGACCCUGAAGCUGAGGCCCCAUCUAAGCUGCACCUGGAUUCCUAAUCCACAAAAACUAUGGGAUAACAAAUGUUGCUCUUUCAAAGCCACUAAGUUGGGGGGGGGGGUAGUUUGUUAGGCAGAAAGUAACUAGGUAAUGCACAUACGUAAAGGAAAAACUACCGACUGUACUAAAUGCCCUGAAGAGGGGGGCCUGGGUGGUUCAGUCGGUUAACCAUCUGACUUCAGCUCAGGUCGUGAUCUCAUAGUUCAUGGGUUCAAGCCCCGCGUUGGGUUCUGUGCUGACAGCUCAGAGCCUGGAACCUGCUUCAGAUUCUGUGUGUCCCUCUCUCUCUGCCCCUCCCCCACUUGCGCUCUCUCUCU
Long non-coding RNA from Acinonyx jubatus (cheetah), 1194 nucleotides. RefSeq lists it as uncharacterized. The transcript is spliced from 2 exons. NCBI's taxonomy places the organism in Eukaryota, Metazoa, Chordata, Mammalia, Carnivora, Felidae. The record is from RefSeq and is a predicted model, not a curated record.